This 2123-nucleotide ribosomal RNA is filed under the name Salmonella enterica. Its description in RNAcentral is "partial 23S ribosomal RNA". It matches the Rfam family "Bacterial large subunit ribosomal RNA", at positions 1 to 2111 of the family's 2925-position model. Lineage: Bacteria; Pseudomonadati; Pseudomonadota; Gammaproteobacteria; Enterobacterales; Enterobacteriaceae. The record is from RNAcentral.
UAUGGUUAAGCUACUAAGAGCACACGGAGGAUGCCUAGGCGCUAGGAGCCGAUGAAGGACGUGGCGAACAACGAAACUGCCUCGGGGAGCUGUAAGCAAGCUUUGAUCCGGGGGUGUCCGAAUGGGGAAACCCAGCUGGGGUAAUUUCCAGUUACUCACAACUGAAUACAUAGGUUGUGUAGAGGCAUACCAAGGGAACUGAAACAUCUAAGUACCUUGAGGAAGAGAAAACAAUAGUGAUUCCGUCAGUAGCGGCGAGCGAACGCGGAGAAGCCCAAACCAGAGAGCUUGCUCUUUGGGGUUGUGGGACGUCUCACAUGGAGUUACAAAGGAACCGGUUAAGUGAAGAGGUCUGGAAAGGCCCGCCAAAGAAGGUAAAAGCCCUGUAGUUGAAAGUCUGUUCCCUCCGAGACGGAUCCCGAGUAGUGCGGGGCACGUGAAACCCCGUAUGAAUCCGGCAGGACCAUCUGCCAAGGCUAAAUACUUCCUAGCGACCGAUAGUGAAGCAGUACCGUGAGGGAAAGGUGAAAAGCACCCCGGAAGGGGAGUGAAAUAGAACCUGAAACCGUGUGCUUACAAAAAGUCAGAGCCCGUUUUAGGGGUGAUGGCGUGCCUUUUGUAGAAUGAACCGGCGAGUUACGUUCCCGUGCAAGGUUAAGGUGAAGAGCCGGAGCCGCAGCGAAAGCGAGUCUGAAUAGGGCGACAUAGUACGUGGACGUAGACCCGAAACCGGGUGAUCUACCCCUGUCCAGGGUGAAGGUGCGGUAACACGCACUGGAGGCCCGAACCCACGCAUGUUGAAAAAUGCGGGGAUGAGGUGGGGGUAGCGGAGAAAUUCCAAUCGAACUCGGAGAUAGCUGGUUCUCCCCGAAAUAGCUUUAGGGCUAGCCUCGGAAAACAGAGUCGUGGAGGUAGAGCACUGAUUGGGUGCGGGGCCCGCAAGGGUUACCAAGCUCAGUCAAACUCCGAAUGCCAUAGACUUACUUCCGGGAGUCAGACAGUGAGUGCUAAGAUCCAUUGUCAAAAGGGAAACAGCCCAGACCAUCAGCUAAGGUCCCCAAGUGUGUGUUAAGUGGGAAAGGAUGUGGAGUUGCACAGACAACCAGGAUGUUGGCUUAGAAGCAGCCACCAUUGAAAGAGUGCGUAAUAGCUCACUGGUCGAGUGACUCUGCGCCGAAAAUGUAACGGGGCUAAACACACCACCGAAGCUAUGGCUUGAUGCUUUGCAUCAGGGGUAGGGGAGCGUUGUAUAAGGGUUGAAGGUGUACCGUAAGGAGCGCUGGACAUUAUACAAGUGAGAAUGCCGGUAUGAGUAACGAAAAGAUCAGUGAGAAUCUGAUCCGCCGAAAGCCUAAGGGUUCCUGAGGAAGGCUCGUCCGCUCAGGGUAAGUCGGGACCUAAGGCGAGGCCGAAAGGCGUAGUCGAAGGACAACAGGUCGAAAUUCCUGUACCACCGUAAGCCGUUAUGAGCAAUGGGGGGACGCAGCAGGGUAGUGACGCGGACUGAUGGAUGUCCGUCUAAGCAGUGAGGCUGAUGUGUAGGCAAAUCCGCACAUCGUAAGGCUGGACUGUGAUGGGGAGCGAAAAUUAUAGUAGCGAAGGUCAUGAUCUCACACUGCCAAGAAAAGCCUCUAGCCAGGUGAUGGUGCCCGUACCGCAAACCGACACAGGUAGGCGAGAAGAGAAUUCUAAGGCGCGCGGAAGAACUCUCGUUAAGGAACUCGGCAAAAUGACCCCGUAACUUCGGGAGAAGGGGUGCCCCGGUAGUGUGAAUAGCACGAGGGGGCCGCAGUGAAAAGGCCCAAGCGACUGUUUAGCAAAAACACAGGUCUGUGCGAAGCCGUAAGGCGAAGUAUACGGGCUGACGCCUGCCCGGUGCUGGAAGGUUAAGGGGAGCGGUUAGGAGCAAUCCGAAGCUGUGAACCGAAGCCCCAGUAAACGGCGGCCGUAACUAUAACGGUCCUAAGGUAGCGAAAUUCCUUGUCAGGUAAAUUCUGACCCGCACGAAUGGCGUAACGACUUGGGCGCUGUCUCAACGAGAGAUCCGGUGAAAUUUUAAUACCUGUGAAGAUGCAGGUUACCCGCGACAAGACGGAAAGACCCCAUGGAGCUUUACUGCAGCU